RNAcentral lists this ribosomal RNA (253 nucleotides) under uncultured bacterium. Its description in RNAcentral is "partial 16S ribosomal RNA". It matches the Rfam family "Bacterial small subunit ribosomal RNA", at positions 524 to 776 of the family's 1533-position model. The record is from RNAcentral.
UACAGAGGUCUCAAGCGUUGUUCGGAUUCAUUGGGCGUAAAGGGUGUGUAGGCGGCGCCGUAAGUCGGGUGUGAAAUUUCGGAGCUUAACUCCGAAACUACAUUCGAUACUGCGGUGCUUGAGGACUGGAGAGGAGACUGGAAUUCAUGGUGUAGCAGUGAAAUGCGUAGAGAUCAUGUGGAACGCCAAUGGUGAAAACAGGUAGCUGGGAGUGUGCUGACGCUGAGACACGAAAGCCAGGGGAGCAAACGGG